UGUGGGAGCGAGCCUGCUCGCGAUGGCGGUGGGUCAGUUGGGUUGAUGUUGCUGCUGGACUGCUAUCGCGAGCAAGCUCGCUCCCACA
Molecule: unclassified non-coding RNA, 88 nt
Filed under: Pseudomonas mediterranea
Lineage: Bacteria; Pseudomonadati; Pseudomonadota; Gammaproteobacteria; Pseudomonadales; Pseudomonadaceae
Source: RNAcentral